This 540-nucleotide long non-coding RNA is filed under the name Ananas comosus (pineapple). RNAcentral's name for it is "long non-coding RNA (ACOM_LNC005286)". The record is from RNAcentral. Lineage: Eukaryota; Viridiplantae; Streptophyta; Magnoliopsida; Poales; Bromeliaceae.
CGAUAUAAGAAAAGAGAGAGAGACAGAUUUUUAUUUUAAAUUUUAAUUUUUAAAAUUUAUAAUUUAUAAUUUUAAAUUAUAAAUUUUAAAGUUUAAAUUUUAAAUUUGAUAUUUUUAAAUUUUAAAUUUUAAAUAUGAUAUUUUUAUCUUUCAAAUUUAAAUUUGGUCCUAAAUUUAAAAUCAGAUAUUUAAAAUUAAAAUUUUGAAAAUUAAAAUUUUAAAUUUAAUUUCAAAUUUUAAAAUGUAAAAGUUAAAAUUUUCAAUUUAAAAUUUUCAGUUUAAAAUUUUAAAUUCAAUUAUAUGAGUAAUAUCAUUAUUUUCUAUUUAUAACUACCAACUAUUCCACCUUAUACUCAUAUUUUCAUCCAAAUACAAUUUUUCUAGUUCCAGCUUAUACUCACAUUUUCAUCCAAACAAAAAAAUACCCAUGUUCCUACAAAAACCCAUACUUGUACCUAUCCCCGGUAUAACUAGUUCUUGCUUAUACCCGAACCAAACGAAGCAUAAAUAUCAACCCAAAAAUAGGUAGAAAAUAUCUUA